RNAcentral lists this ribosomal RNA (406 nucleotides) under uncultured bacterium. Its description in RNAcentral is "partial 16S ribosomal RNA". It matches the Rfam family "Bacterial small subunit ribosomal RNA", at positions 30 to 526 of the family's 1533-position model. The record is from RNAcentral.
AUUGAACGCUGGCGGCAGGCCUAACACAUGCAAGUCGAGCGAGCGGCGGACGGGUGAGUAAUGUCUGGGAAACUGCCUGAUGGAGGGGGAUAACUACUGGAAACGGUAGCUAAUACCGCAUACAAUAAGAUAUGCCCAGAUGGGAUUAGCUAGUAGGUGGGGUAACGGCUCACCUAGGCGAAGAUCCCUAGCUGGUCGGAAAGGAUGACCAGCCACACUGGAAAUGAGACACGGUCCAGACGCCUACGGAUGGCAGCAGUGGGGAAUAUUGCACAAUGGGCGCAAGCCUGAUGCAGCCAUGCCGCGUGUGUGAAGAAGGCCUUCGGGUUGUAAAGCACUUUCAGCGGGGAGGCGUUACCCGCAGAAGAAGCACCGGCUAACUCCGUGCCAGCAGCCGCGGUAAUAC